RNAcentral lists this unclassified non-coding RNA (233 nucleotides) under plant metagenome. RNAcentral describes it as "partial contains small subunit ribosomal RNA, internal transcribed spacer 1, and 5.8S ribosomal RNA". The record is from RNAcentral.
UUUCCGUAGGUGAACCUGCGGAAGGAUCAUUAAUGGAUUUUGAAACUUCAGGCUGCUGCUGGCUCUCCUCGGAGGGCAUGUGCACGCUUGUUGUCCAUUAUUUCUCCCGCUGUGCACAAAUUGUAGACCUUUCAGUCGGCCUAUGUUGUAUUUCACAAUCUCUGAAUGUAACAGAAUGGUUUUGAAUCUUGGGAAAUACAAUACAACUUUCAGCAACGGAUCUCUUGGCUCUC